RNAcentral lists this ribosomal RNA (446 nucleotides) under uncultured bacterium. RNAcentral describes it as "partial 16S ribosomal RNA". It matches the Rfam family "Bacterial small subunit ribosomal RNA", at positions 338 to 795 of the family's 1533-position model. The record is from RNAcentral.
CCUACGGGAGGCAGCAGUCGAGAAUCAUUCACAAUGGGGGAAACCCUGAUGGUGCGACGCCGCGUGGGGGAAUGAAGGUCUUCGGAUUGUAAACCCCUGUCAUGUGGGAGCAAAUCAAAAAGAUAGUACCACAAGAGGAAUAGACGGCUAACUAUGGGCCACCAGCUGCGGUAAUACAGAGGUAUUAAGCGUUGUUCGGAAUCACUGGGCGUAAAGCGUGCGUAGGCUGUUUCGUAAGUCGUGUGUGAAAGGCGCGGGCUCAACCCGCGGACGGCACAUGAUACUGGGAGACUAGAGUAAAGGAGGGGGAGGCGGAAUGCGCGGUGUAGCAGUGAAAUGCGUAGAUAUCGAGAGGAACACUCGUGGCGAAGGCGGGUUCCUGGACAUUAACUGACGCUGAGGCACGAAGGCCAGGGGAGCGAAAGGGAUUAGAUACCCCAGUAGUC